ACAUACAUAACAUACUCUACCCAGAAUACCGACCUAAUUGGUCACUAACAUAGCAUCAUCCUAUAUUCCAGGAUUCCGACCUUAACCAGGUCUCUAACAUAUAUCAUCCUAACUACCAGGAUGCAAACAUAUAGCAAAGGAAUAACAUAACAACUACCCGGAUUUCCAUCCGAUAAAGGGCCGACCUUGGUGCCUUAGACCCUGUCGAUAUAGUGAGGAUAACUCACCCGCAACUGCCGACUGAAAAGAUAAGAUCACACUACUCCAACCUCCGACACAAACUCCACCACUGAUCAAUACCAAAAGUCUAAACUCAUUAAAUACAAAUAAUUACCAAAAUACCCCUGGAAGUCAAAGUCCUUAGUCAAAGUCAACCUUCCUGACUAACUCUACUCGUCGAGUCCACCCGCUGACUCAUCGAGUCCCUAUACUCAGAAACGCCCAAUCCACGACUCAACAUGUCGAGUCACCCCAAGACUCGCCGAAUCCAACAAACUAUGAGUCACUUUCUGCUCAACUCACUAAGUCGUCCCUCGACUCACCGAUUCACAGCUCAACCAAAAAGGUUAGGUCUUCACGACCAGACUCGCGGAGUCCAAGAACAGACUCGCCGAGUCCAAGGCAAUCUUCAACAGACUCGCCGAGUUGUUCUUCCAACUCGCCGACUCUAUGCACAUAUUCAUACAACUCGUCGAGUGCACCCAUGUGACUCGCCGAGUCCAGAAGUGAAAUCUUCAUCCAGACGAUUUCAGGCCAUCCCAAUGCUUCCAAUACAUAGAUCUGAACUCGUAGGGCCAUAUUCACACGUAAAGUUUCCAACUUUACGUGCAUGCAAGGCUCGACAAGCUCCAACAAGCUAGAAAUGAAGGUUUAAGGCAAGGACACUCUCAAUCAUGCCCCAAAGCUAUCACUUUCUGAUCACAUGGCUCCAAACCAACCUAGAUCUGAAGUUGCAACCUCAAAUCUAGUCUCCACGCCCGAAAUAGAUCCCAACCAUGCAAAAGAACCCCAAAUCAUACACCAUGGAUGAAAUAACAAGGAAAUAGCUUAAGGUAAAAUCCUCUUACUUUAGAGAUGAGUCUAAACUGAUGUAGACUUCAGAUCCACAAGAUUUCUUGAUGCUAUCCUCAAUUUCCUCCAACUUUCUCUUCUUUAAUUCCUUCUUUAAGGCUUAAAUCUUCUCAACAAUGGGGUCACACACGAGAUGAUGGUUUCUGGAUCUCAAAUGGGUAGCAAAGAGGCUAAGGGUAGCUAUAAUGUGCUUUAUAUAGGGCACAAACCCCGGAUUAGGAUUUUCUCCUUUCAGCACCAACUCGCCGAGUCCAGCCGCCGACUCGCCUGAGUUGGUCGUUUAACACUUGACCAGAACCGCGACUCGACUCACCAAGUCGACCUUCCUUAUUUACACCAAGAACCCUGAACUUGCACCGCUGAACUCGGGGUGUUACAAUUCUCCCCCACUUAAAUUAGGCUUCAUCCUCGAAGCCUUCAGCAACACAUCCCAGAUGAUACUCCCACAAUACAGCUACUGGCCUCAACCGACCCAGGUUCCUCCAAACACUACUAUCAAACCCCUAUAAAGUCAACUCUUUCUCACAAAGUCACGACAACUGCUUCAAGCCAGCCACCGACUUCUUUCUCUGACAACAACACCUAUCAACCAAUAAUCACCCGAUGCUACUUCCAUCGUUCUAAAUCACAUAAUCACUUGACUCUUACAAACUAGAUAUCACCAUGAACCACCGGGUCUUGACCCGCUACCAACUGCUAUCCCUUUCCUUGCUUGUCACAUCUUUAUCGAAUUUACUGCUGGGACUUAUCCCACUUCCUUUCCGAAUCCAACUCUUUUCUUUCCGUGCUGACAAGAUGACACAUCUUUCAGCUCCUAAGCAACUCCCAUGAGCUCUCCUCUGCAAUCACAACCAUACUGGAAAUCCAAGGCUCCAUCCUUGCAUCCCUUCCGAACUCCGCUGGUUCCAUACCACCAGAAAUUCAUCCGCAACCUCAACAAACACCCAAACCGGAUGUGCUUCCAUACCACUGGUACAAUCAUAGUGCUCAACAACCAUUAUUGAAAUACUCUCAAUCAUCCAUUCUCACUACUGCUUUCACUUCCGUGAACCAACACUCCCUCCCGGAGGUACAUACCUUUUCCUUUCCUUAUCCAAGGAAAUCUACUUGGCAACCUUGCCACUUCAGACAAGUGCCACGGUGCUAACACCCCACUCUACACUAUCCCUUGUAGAGUAACUGCUACUCCAUGCAUCGCACAUGUUCUAAAUCUGCUCGCAAUGACUCUCGGGUCCAUGCACUUCCUUCCACUAACAUGAUCAAUACUCGGGGCCAGACCCACUACUUGCUACUGCAUAGCAACAUACUGAAAUCACUUUCCGCAUAAAGAUCUAUCAACACUUAUAGAGUCUUCAGCAUGACUAGACCGACUUACCAGGCCUUCAGCCAAUCUGGACCACACUCAGAACCUUCAGCAUGUAUGGACCGCCCUCCAGGGCCUUCAUCCUGUCUGGACCGUUUUUCGAGCCUUCGACCUGACUGGUACGCCCACCGGCGUUCAGUCUCCCCGGACCGCUCAAACUAUCAUACAUCAUUCCGAACUAUUCCUCCUGGGAAUCACUCCUAUACAUACUGUUCUAGCCCUCUAGGGGUUCCGAACUCUAACUCUAUUCCAUAUACUCAGAUCCCGGCCUAAUCCUACGCCUCACAACAACCAAUCACCCUUUUCCGAAAUCCUUGGUCUGUACUCCGACCCAUCGGUCUAACACUUACUCAUACCAGCCCACACUCUUGGCUGACUGGAACACUGCUGGAUCUCAAACAGCUAAUCAAAAUCUAACGCUUGUCGACCCUCCUGAGAAUUUUCCAAUCUCUCCCACUUAGAGCACCGACGUCCAACCACCGGUGACCCAACCGGGAUCACUUAAACAACCCUACUCAACAUAUUCCCCUUAUCCAUGAACUGAUUUCCUCUAAAACGAACAACCUCCACAAAAUCACCCCUCCGACAUCGCACAUCUCGAACUCUAAGGGAGUUCGACUCUUCGCUGAACACUUCUCAAAUCGCAAUUGCUAUAUCCGGCAACAAGACCAUACAACCAAAUUCUGACCAUCAAUCCCUUGGAUGCUAACCAUUUACAACACCUUACUACUAUCACUUUCAACCAACCCAUGAAACACGCAGAACGACGAAUAAAAAUACAACACCACAAAAUAACAAGAUAACCAGACAACAACAAAACGAAAACAUACCCGCAACCGCAUCCGGCUCUACCCUGACCUCCUCUGCUGUAAGCUGAAAAGCGCGCCCCUGAGCCCUUGGGGGCUCCGCUCCACCCUAACCUCCACCCGAAAUCCUCAAAGUGGUCGGUGCUAGAGCCUGCACCGGUCCUGCAGCAAGCUGUGGACAUUUGGCCCUCAUGUGACCAACCUGAUGACAUUGGUAAAAAAAUCCUCAUAUCUUGAACUGGGGCUAACUGGUGGCAAUCCCUUGCGUAAUUCCCCUCUCUUCCGCACUUGCGGCACGCACUACCGGAUCUACAAACUUCGGUGUGGCCCCUCCCGCACUUCCCACAAGUGCGGCUGCUCUGAUCUCCCAACCUAGAAUCAACGGUCUUGGACCGUUUCGGUGCCGGUUGCGACUGUGCCAGGGCCUGCCUCUGAUCUCUCAACUGCAACUCAAUCUCCAACUCACGCCGCCGAGUGGCCUCCUGCAACUCCAGCAACGUCUCGCACCUCUACAUAGACACAAACUUCCUGAUGUCCCUCUUGAGCAUACUCAGGUAUCGGGACAUCUGAGCCUGCUCCGAAGCAAACUCAGGGCAAAACAUCGCCCUCUCAGUGAACAUCCUGGUGAUCUCCGUCACCGACUCUGAAUCCUGCUUCAUGUUCCAAGAACUCCUGAGCCAACCUCUCUCUCAACCUGUGGAACAUAACGAGUGCUGAACAUCUCCCUAAACUGAUCCCAAGAAACCACAGCCCGCUACACAUCCGAAUAUGACCCCGUAGUCAACCUCCACCAAUCCUUCGCCUCGAGCCUCAACAGGUUCAAAGCACACCUCACCCUCUGAUCAGUAGGGCAUGAACAUGUGAAGAAAUAUCCCUCCAAAUCUAACAACCAUCGCAUAACAACAAUCGGAUCCUGAACUCCAUCAAAAGUAGGGGGCUUCGUAUUAUCGAAAUCCCGAUACUGAAAACCUCUGCUGGCUCCUCCCCCUGCCGCUGCUACAGCCGAUGUAGCCGCCGUGGCAGUCGUCUCUAUAAGAGCUGCAUAGCGCUCAUCAAAAUACUCAACCAUGGCGGUCUUGAUCGACCCAAACAGUUCCAGCAACUCGGCUCGGAACAUAUCAGCAACCUCAUCAUGCAGGAUCUCAUGAAUCCUAACAUCCAACUCGUCUGUGCUCAUCUGACCGUUAACCUCGGGUGGUGCUGAUCCACCCUAACCGCCCCCUCUUGCUCCCGAUCCUGACCCGGAUCCGCUCCCAGCAUGCCUCGUAACCACCAUAUUGAAAUUGCUGCAAAACAUCAGAUGCUUUACACUAACACAGGAACCAACUCCCAACCCAGCCCUAGGGGCUGUGACUUCCUUGAUACGCGUAUGGGUCCUGUACUUUCAGUAGUAUGGGCCCAUACUACCUUCAACACAUACCCAUAUUUAUAUCAAGUAUCACCACAACACCCUAGUGAUGAACAUGCAUAACAAGCACUCAACCGUCACUCCUAGAGGAACAUUGGAAAUCUCAUAUAGAAAGAAACCCUAGGAUAGCAGGCAUCAUAAAUCAGGAAACUCUAUCAUGCAAAUCCUGAAGAUUCCUAGCCUAGUACUAGCAUGUUGCUCUAUCAUAUCUCAUAAACAAAUAACUUGUAUGGUAUUUUGGGGUUACUUACUGGCUCCGGCUGAUCGUACCUCCGUGUCCUCCUUUACUCAUUUUUUAAAACCAUUUUAAAUUCUCUUUUGAAAAAUCUCCUUGAUUUGAGACUGGAUUCACACGAAUGUUCCUCCAAUUCACUCAAACCAAGGCUCUGAUACCAACUUGUAACGCUCUAAAAAUUCCAACCAAUUUAAACUUUUCAAAAACAACCUAAUUUCAUUAAGUUAUUACAAAAAGGUUUUCAAUGCACUUAUUAUCAGAGUAUUCCCAUAACCAUAUCAUAAAACAUAAACAUGAGGAGCGGUACGAUCACGUCUUUGCCUUGCCACGGUCUCCUGAAGUACCUAAAACGUUAAACCACAACUGUAAGCCCGAAAGCUUAGUGAGAUACCCCCAAAAUACCAACCACAUAUACCAUACACAUAACAUGUCAUAUCGUAACAGAACAACCAUGCACUUCGGGUCUACUGUGUGACUGGUCCGCUGCACCGGGCCUUCAGUCCACCUGGUCCACCCUCCGAGUCUAGCCAUAUCCAUCGAGUCUACAGUGUGGUUGGUCCNCCACCUGGUCAACUCUCUAAGUCUACAGUAUGACUGGUCCGCCCGCACCGAGCCUUCAGUCGGCCUGGUCCACUCUUCGAGCCUCGGCACGUCUUGUCCGCCCUCGUGGGGCCUACAGCCUAUCUAGACCACUCGCUGGGCCUUCGGAAUAUCCGGCCCGCCAUGGGUAUGUUGGCCUAUAGCACAAAGUAGGACCCGCCUCAACCCAACCCCAGUCAACCAACCAUGUGCACAUAAACAUAUAAUCAUAUAACAAUUAAUCACCAAUCAACCGAUCUAGCAAAUCACAUACAUAUCAUACUCUAACCAGGAUACCGACCUAACCAGUCACUAACAUAGCAUCAUCCUAUAUUCGAGGAUUCCGACCUUAACCAGGUCUCUAACAUAUACCAUCCUAACUACCAAGAUGCAAACAUAUAGCAAAGCAAUAACAUAACAACUACCCGGAUUUCCAUCCGAUAAAGGGCCGGCCUUGGUGCCUUAGACCCUGUCGAUAUAGUGAGGAUAACUCAGCUGCAACUGCCAACUGAAAAGAUAAGAUCACACUGCUCCAACCUCCGACACGAACUCCACCAUUGAUCAAUACCAAAAGUCUGAACUCAAUAAAUACCAAUAAUUACCAAAAUACCCCUGGAAGUCAAAGUCCUCAGUCAAAGUCAACCUUCCUGACUGACUCUACUCGCC
RNAcentral lists this long non-coding RNA (6128 nucleotides) under Lactuca sativa (garden lettuce). RNAcentral's name for it is "long non-coding RNA (LSAT_LNC000734)". The record is from RNAcentral. Lineage: Eukaryota; Viridiplantae; Streptophyta; Magnoliopsida; Asterales; Asteraceae.